GAUGAACGCUGACAGAAUGCUUAACACAUGCAAGUCGAUGGGGAAGUGGUGCUUGCACCAUGGCAACCAUGGCGGACGGGUGAGUAACGCGUAAGGGACUUACCUGCAGGACUGGGAUAACAGGGGGAAACUCCUGACAAGACCGGAUAAUGUCAUGGAGCUGCAUGGCUUUAUGAUGAAAGGAGACGCCUGCGGAGAGCCUUGCGUCCUAUUAGCUAGUUGGUGAGGUAAUGGCUCACCAAGGCGAAGAUAGGUAGCCGGCCUGAGAGGGUGGACGGCCACAAGGGGACUGAGAUACGGCCCUUACUCCUACGGGAGGCGGCAGUGGGGAAUAUUGGACAAUGGGGGCAACCCUGAUCCAGCAAUUCUGUGUGCACGAAGAGGGUUUUCGGAUUGUAAAGUGCUUUCAGCAGGGAAGAAGUAAGUGACGGUACCUGCAGAAGAAGCGACGGCUAAAUACGUG
RNAcentral lists this ribosomal RNA (463 nucleotides) under uncultured bacterium. RNAcentral's name for it is "partial 16S ribosomal RNA". It matches the Rfam family "Bacterial small subunit ribosomal RNA", at positions 28 to 507 of the family's 1533-position model. The record is from RNAcentral.